UAGCGUAUAUUUAAGUUGUUGCGGUAAAAAAGCUCGUAGUUGGAUUUCUGUUGAGGACGACCGGUCCAUACCAUGUAUGCGCAUCUGGUUUCGGCCUCGGCAUCCUCUCGAGAUGCGUUUCUGCGCUUGAUUGCGUGGGGCGUGGCUCGGGACUUUUACUUUGAGGAAAUUAGAGUGUUCACGGCAGGCUUUUGCCAGAAUACAUUAGCAUGGAAUAAUAAUAUAGGAUCUUGGUUCUAUUUUGUUGGUUUCUAGAAUUAAGAUAAUGAUUAAUAGGGACAAUUGGGGGCAUUCGUAUCAACACGUC
RNAcentral lists this ribosomal RNA (307 nucleotides) under Amoebophrya sp. RNAcentral's name for it is "SSU rRNA". It matches the Rfam family "Eukaryotic small subunit ribosomal RNA", at positions 595 to 906 of the family's 1831-position model. Lineage: Eukaryota; Dinophyceae; Syndiniales; Amoebophryaceae. The record is from RNAcentral.